RNAcentral lists this long non-coding RNA (300 nucleotides) under Nicotiana benthamiana. RNAcentral's name for it is "long non-coding RNA (NBEN_LNC016505)". Lineage: Eukaryota; Viridiplantae; Streptophyta; Magnoliopsida; Solanales; Solanaceae. The record is from RNAcentral.
UAAACUUACUGCAGCCUGGUCUUGUUCCUGCCUUGUCACACCAAAACGAUGUGCUACAUUCUCAGAAGUAAUACCCAUAGGAAGAAGACAGUCUUGAGCUUGUGCCAUCAUCUUAACCUGAGAUCAAACGUUAAAGGUUAUGCUAAUCCUUCCAAUAGAACUCAUCUCUAAAGAAAAUAAGCCUAACAAUAGAUGUUAGAGGUUAUGCUAAUCCUUCCAAUAGAACUCAUCUCUAUUAAAAAUAAGCCUAACAAUAUAAAACAAAAGAAUACACAAUAUUUUCAUAGAACAAAGGACAUA